CCCAUCUGUGCUUUAAUCCCUCUAUAAAGUUGAUGUUCCUGAGUCCUGUGUUUGCUCUGAUAGGAUCUCGGCCAUCUGGUCCAUGCCUGUUCCUAUGGCAGCCCCUCCAUUGCCUUUUAAUGACAGCAAACAAAGAAAGGGACUGGGUCGAGAAAACAAAAAUCGUAUUUUUAUGUUUCACUGAAGAUACAAGCCUUCUGUUAAGACCUUGUUUUGAAUAAAUCCUUCCACUGAUGCUCCUACAUGUCCAGCAAUAGCAUUUACACUUCCAAAAUGGUGCUGAAAGACAUAAAAGAAACUUAAUGAAAAUGUCCUUCAGAAUGCAUGAAGUGAAAUAUUCAGAGCACUCCACUUGUGAAUCUAUGCUCGUCAUCUCACAGUAUCUGCCAAACUAUUUCAAAGACCUGGUCAGAGUUUCAGAACUAGUAACACUACCUGAAAAUGAAUGUUGGAGCCAGAUAAGAAACUAUAGGCUGCUUUCAAGAAGGUUACAAGAAAACUGCAUCUUGCAUUACUAAUCCUUUAUCUUCAUGUUAACAAAAAGAUUACUGACACAUUUUUGAAUGAAAGAAAAUAAAACAGCAAAUGCAUCUUAGAAAAUGUUUAAC
This 608-nucleotide long non-coding RNA is filed under the name Phascolarctos cinereus (koala). RNAcentral's name for it is "lncRNA (ENSPCIG00000030495.2)". Lineage: Eukaryota; Metazoa; Chordata; Mammalia; Diprotodontia; Phascolarctidae. The record is from RNAcentral.